Unclassified non-coding RNA from Pongo abelii (Sumatran orangutan), 148 nucleotides. It matches the Rfam family "Metazoan signal recognition particle RNA". From Rfam's summary of the family: The signal recognition particle (SRP) is a universally conserved ribonucleoprotein. The record is from Ensembl. Lineage: Eukaryota; Metazoa; Chordata; Mammalia; Primates; Hominidae.
GCCAGGUGUGGUGGUGGGCACCUAUAGUCCCAACUACUCAGGAGGCUGAGGCAGGAGGAUUGCUUGAGCCCGGGAGGUCGAGGCUGCAGUGAGCCAUGGCCAGGCCACUGCACUCCAGCCUGGGCAACAGAACAGGACCCUGUUUCAA